This 195-nucleotide non-coding RNA is filed under the name Acidobacterium capsulatum. RNAcentral also lists the same sequence under 1 other name. Lineage: Bacteria; Pseudomonadati; Acidobacteriota; Terriglobia; Terriglobales; Acidobacteriaceae. The record is from RNAcentral.
ACGGUGGUUUUACUUCGCGGUGCCGGAUCGAGAAAUCCGGCUGAAAAGGGAAUCCGGUGCAAUUCCGGAACUGCCCCGCAGCGGUAAGCAGGAACGAAAGCUCCAAGGGUAAGCACUGGCCCGGGCAUGGGCUGGGAAGCGGGAGCAAAUAGGCAGCCUGCGAGUCCGAAGACCUGCCACGAAGACAUUCGCGGA